GACGAACGCUGGCGGCGUGCUUAACACAUGCAAGUCGAGCGGUAAGGCCCUUUCGGGGGUACACGAGCGGCGAACGGGUGAGUAACACGUGGGUGACCUGCCCUCAGCUCUGGGAUAAGCCUGGGAAACCGGGUCUAAUACCGGAUAUGACUCCAUGACGCAUGUUGUGGGGUGGAAAGCCUUGUGCGGCUGAGGAUGGGCCCGCGGCCUAUCAGCUUGUUGGUGGGGUGAUGGCCUACCAAGGCGACGACGGGUAGCCGGCCUGAGAGGGCGACCGGCCACACUGGGACUGAGACACGGCCCAGACUCCUACGGGAGGCAGCAGUGGGGAAUCUUGCGCAAUGGGCGAAAGCCUGACGCAGCGACGCCGCGUGAGGGAUGACGGCCUGGUUGUAAC
RNAcentral lists this ribosomal RNA (397 nucleotides) under uncultured bacterium. RNAcentral's name for it is "bacterial SSU rRNA". It matches the Rfam family "Bacterial small subunit ribosomal RNA", at positions 28 to 429 of the family's 1533-position model. The record is from RNAcentral.